UAGUGGCGAACGGGUGAGUAACACGUGGGCAAUCUGCCCUUCACUNUGGGACAAGCCCUGGAAACGGGGUCUAAUACCGGAUAACACCUGCCCGGGCAUCUGGGUGGGUUAAAAGCUCCGGCGGUGAAGGAUGAGCCCGCGGCCUAUCAGCUUGUUGGUGAGGUAGUGGCUCACCAAGGCGACGACGGGUAGCCGGCCUGAGAGGGCGACCGGCCACACUGGGACUGAGACACGGCCCAGACUCCUACGGGAGGCAGCAGUGGGGAAUAUUGCACAAUGGGCGAAAGCCUGAUGCAGCGACGCCGCGUGAGGGAUGACGGCCUUCGGGUUGUAAACCUCUUUCAGCAGGGAAGAAGCGAAAGUGACGGUACCUGCAGAAGAAGCGCCGGCUAACUACGUGCCAGCAGCCGCGGUAAUACGUAGGGCGCAAGCGUUGUCCGGAAUUAUUGGGCGUAAAGAGCUCGUAGGCGGCUUGUCACGUCGGGUGUGAAAGCCCGGGGCUUAACCCCGGGUCUGCAUUCGAUACGGGCUAGCUAGAGUGUGGUAGGGGAGAUCGGAAUUCCU
RNAcentral lists this ribosomal RNA (564 nucleotides) under Streptomyces sp. 343F11. RNAcentral describes it as "bacterial SSU rRNA". It matches the Rfam family "Bacterial small subunit ribosomal RNA", at positions 93 to 671 of the family's 1533-position model. The record is from RNAcentral. Lineage: Bacteria; Bacillati; Actinomycetota; Actinomycetes; Kitasatosporales; Streptomycetaceae.